CAUGUAGGUGGGACCUUAAGUCAGCUGUUAAAGAAUACGGCUUAACCGUAUUUUGCAGUUGAUACUGGGGUUCUUGAGUGUGAGAGGGGACAGAGGAAUAUCAGGUGUAGCGGUGGAAUGCGUAGAUAUCUGAUAGAACACCGGAGGCGAAGGCGUCUGUCUGGCUCAUAACUGACACUGAAAUGCGAAAGCAUGGGUAGCGAACA
RNAcentral lists this ribosomal RNA (206 nucleotides) under uncultured bacterium. RNAcentral describes it as "partial 16S ribosomal RNA". It matches the Rfam family "Bacterial small subunit ribosomal RNA", at positions 568 to 774 of the family's 1533-position model. The record is from RNAcentral.